UUAGAGUUUGAUCCUGGCUCAGGAUGAACGCUGGCGGCGUGCUUAACACAUGCAAGUCGAACGGGAAUUACUUUAUUGAAACUUCGGUCGAUUUAAUUUAAUUCUAGUGGCGGACGGGUGAGUAACGCGUGGGUAACCUGCCUUAUACAGGGGGAUAACAGUCAGAAAUGGCUGCUAAUACCGCAUAAGCGCACAGAGCUGCAUGGCUCAGUGUGAAAAACUCCGGUGGUAUAAGAUGGACCCGCGUUGGAUUAGCUUGUUGGUGGGGUAACGGCCCACCAAGGCGACGAUGCAUAGCCGGCCUGAGAGGGCGGACGGCCACAUUGGGACUGAGACACGGCCCAAACUCCUACGGGAGGCAGCAGUAGGGAAUUUUCGUCAAUGGGGGGAACCCUGAACGAGCAAUGCCGCGUGAGUGAGGAAGGUCUUCGGAUCGUAAAGCUCUGUUGUAAGAGAAAAACGACAUUCAUAGGGAAUGAUGAGUGAGUGAUGGUAUCUUACCAGAAAGUCACGGCUAACUACGUGCCAGCAGCCGCGGUAAUACGUAGGUGGCGAGCGUUAUCCGGAAUGAUUGGGCGUAAAGGGUGCGUAGGUGGCAGAACAAGCCUGGAGUAAAAGGUAUGGGCUCAACCCGUACUGGCUCUGGAAACUGUUCAGCUAGAGAACAGAAGAGGACGGCGGAACUCCAUGUGUAGCGGUAAAAUGCGUAGAUAUAUGGAAGAACACCGGUGGCGAAGGCGGCCGUCUGGUCUGUUGCUGACACUGAAGCACGAAAGCGUGGGGAGCAAAUAGGAUUAGAUACCCUAGUAGUCCACGCCGUAAACGAUGAGAACUAGGUGUCGGGGGAAUAACUCAGUGCCGCAGUCAACGCAAUAAGUUCUCCGCCUGGGGAGUAUGCACGCAAGUGUGAAACUCAAAGGAAUUGACGGGGGCCCGCACAAGCAGUGGAUUAUGUGGUUUAAUUCGACGCAACGCGAAGAACCUUACCGGGAUUUGACAUCCUACUAACGAAGUAGAGAUACAUUAGGUGCCCUUCGGGGAAAGUAGAGACAGGUGGUGCAUGGUUGUCGUCAGCUCGUGUCGUGAGAUGUUGGGUUAAGUCCCGCAACGAGCGCAACCCCUAUUGUUAGUUGCUACGAAAGAGCACUCUAGCGAGACUGCCGUUGACAAAACGGAGGAAGGCGGGGACGACGUCAAAUCAUCAUGCCCCUUAUGUCCCGGGCUACACACGUAAUACAAUGGCGAUCAACAGAGGGAAGCAAAGCCGCGAGGCAGAGCAAAUCCCCAAAAGUCGUCUCAGUUCGGAUUGCAGGCUGAAACCCGCCUGCAUGAAGUUGGAAUUGCUAGUAAUCGCGGAUCAGCAUGCCGCGGUGAAUACGUUCCCGGGCCUUGCACACACCGCCCGUCA
This 1408-nucleotide ribosomal RNA is filed under the name uncultured bacterium. RNAcentral's name for it is "bacterial SSU rRNA". It matches the Rfam family "Bacterial small subunit ribosomal RNA". The record is from RNAcentral.